GCAUCGUUAGGGGCUUGGCUAAAACAUUAUCAGAGUUUGCAACGGAAGGCGUAACUGAAAUAAUCAGUGUUUACAGCGGAAUGCAUAACUGAGAUACAUGUAUGAAGACAUGUAUCCUUUCUGAGCCUACUUUAAGUUCGACAAAAACUCCACUCAGCAACACUUCAUCGCCCAUCACAACUCAACCUGCACAAACAUAAACAUCGAAGGGCUAAGUACAAGAGUACUUAGUGGGCAGUUGCCAAGCAUAUAACAUAACAUCAUUAACAAUUUCACAAUAUCGCAUAAGAGGCAUGAGUUUCUUUCAUAUCCUUUGCUCAUUAAACAUUUCCAAAUUCAUAAAUAGCAUGAGCGCAUUCUUCAUCAUCAACAAUCAUAAACAAGCAUCGUGUCGUGGAGAAGGCCUUCCCCAACGAGCACGGGCAUCGCGCCGUGAAGGGGGCCUCCCUCAGCGGUCACGGCAUCAUACUAUUGAGGGAGGCCUCCCCCAAUAGACGCUGUAACACUGGAAUACUGGCAUCGCGCCGCUAGGGAGGCCUCCCUCAGCGGACACGGGCAUCGCGCCGUGAGGAAGGCCCUCCUCAGCGGACACGGCAUCGUAGUGUUAUUGUGGGCUCCCCCAACAGACGCAAGCAUCAAUCACAGGCAUAAACUUAUCAGCGUAAAGCAUUCAAGCGUAAAUAAGCGUAAUCAAACUUAAAUCAUUUAGCGUAAAGCAUAAUAAAGCAUACCAUACUUGAAGAUCCAAUUUGCAUUAUAAAGCAUAACACAUGCAUAGCAUUUUAUUUACGCGUAAGAAAUUGCCCACCUGAUAGCAAAGUUUUGCUAAGGUACUCUAACUCCUUGUGUAGUUCUUACUCUUGCGCUUGACCUUAAUCACGAGAAUAUAAAAUAAGACAUUGCCUCGAGGAAAAUUCUUAAUUAAUGAGAAAGCGUAAUUUAACUAUGCAUGAAUCUGGUAUGCAUGAACUAAUCUUCUGAGCGAUUAUCGGGAAUUCUACUAUUAAUCCUCGUUAAUAGAUUUAGCUAAUUCUCGUCUAACGCGGUCGAAUAAAACUGUGAUUCUUCCUUCCUCAUCGAAAUAUUCUAGUCGUGAAAUAAACCUCGCCUUUGUACUCGAUCGGAAAUAAAAGAACUAUCUCGGCUUUAAUCGAGGUGUGACCUCGUAGAAAUUAUCGGGCUUUUCGAUAGAAACAUAAUUACUAACGUAAUCUCAAAUAAUUAAUAGGCUCAAAAGAGAGUAGCCAAUUAAUUAAAUAAAACGAGUAGCUUAACUCAAAUAAAUAAUGACAGCUCAAAAUAAUAAUUUGGCCUUAAGGAAACAAUAAUAUAAGCUCAAUAAUUAAGAGGCUCAACAAGGCAGCCUCAUAAUUAAUUAAGUAGAAGUGGGCCUGAAUAAAUAGUACGAAAGCCCAAUCAAAAUAAUUCAUUGGCUUAAGUAAUUAAAUAAAUCUUGGCCCAAUGAAUAAAUAAUGAAUAGUUGGGCUAAGUUAAAUAAGUACGCAAGGCUCAGCUGCAAUUAAAUAAGCCUCGGCCCAAAGAAAUAAAAUAAUAAGGCCCAAAUUAAAAUAAGGUCUGUUGGGCUCAAAGUGAAGGAUCCGGCCCAAAGAAUCAUAUAAUUCAGCCCAAUUGAAAUAAUUCAUGAAGGCCCAACAAUUCUGCCCAAGAAUAGAAUGAAUUAUUCUGAGCUUAAAAUUAAAUAAAACUCGGCCCAGCUGAUAUGGUACAACAGCCCAAAGAAUUAAAAGACAAAGCCCAAUUUACUUAAAAUAAACAAGCUCCAAAAGAAUUAAAAAUCGAAGGCCCAUUUGUAGAAUAAAAAUAAAUUAGGCCCAACUUAAAUUAAAUAACUAAAGCCCAAUUGAAUUAAUAAAAGAGGCCCAAAGUAAAUAAUAAUGAAGCCCAAGUCAUUAAAAUAACAUCAAGCCCAACUCCUCUCUCUCACUCUCGGCCCUGUUCUUCUUCUCGCUCUCUCUUAUCAGACGAGCCCCUUAUUCUUUCUCAAAAUAGUCGAGAACUCCCAUCUCAACAUCAGUCGAUGAUUUCAGUCGCCGCCUCUGCUCCGACCGGCGUCGGCUACCGCCGAGUUUAGGUCCGGCGCGACCGCACCCGUCUCUAUCUCCGUAUCUUCUCUCUUGCUGAAGUUCGUCCGAGGUGAGAGGGCGUGCCCUAGGUCCUUCCUGACAUCGCAAUCGUCGCUGCAAUUCCCGGCGAACCGCCGGCGUCUCGUUCGUUCUCCUGCGUCGGACUCUCCUCUCCGCAGAGCCCCAAUUCGAGCCCUAAUCGUCAAAUAUCAGGUCGCCGCUGCACCGCGUCUCCGUCAGAAUCUGAUGGCUGGUCGCCGUUCUAGUGCUGCUCCGGCCUGGAGUCGGUCGGCCUCGCUCACCUUCUCCUCCCCUCGUUUCAUCUUUCAACAUAUCCGCAACCGAGAUUCAAGCUUCCUAUUCUGAGAAUUCAGCCCGCCUCUACUGCCUCUUCUCCGCAAUCGUUGAGUGAAGUUGUUGCUGUUGUCGCGCUGAGGUUCUGCGUGACAGUAGGCCUUCUAAUUUCACCGUCGACGCUGUCCGAAUUUCCAGAAAGAAAUGGAUCGCCGCUGCAGAGCAGCCGCUGCUCGGCUCGGUACCGGUCAGCUUCGUUCGCCCCUGCCCCUACCGUCGUUGUCUUAGUCUCAAACCGACCGAGGCAGUCAGCCCGCUUUUCCUAAGGCUAAGUCGAACUCGCCUCUCCCCUAUUUCUAUCGGGUUUUGUUUUUAAACGAAAUAAGGCAAGGACAAGGUGUAAACUAUCUUUGUUUUGCAUAAUACAUAGUAUGCUCGUUUUAAAACUACGUAUGAACUUAUUUCUGAUCGUGUGUCUUGCUAAGUUCAUAAGCAUAUAUACUCGUUCUAAACUUUGUAUCAUUUACCAAAUCAUGUAUGUUGGAAGAAAUGCAAAUGGAUUGAAUGAGCUGAGCCUAGUGUUUACCUCUUAUGAAAAUAAGUUGAUUUCUCCAGAUGAUGGGUGGGAGUGAGUUGCUGUAAAUUGAUGUUUGUGAUGGUGUUCGACUAUGCAAGAAAUUCUCUGUUAUAACAUGGCUGCAGAUAUAAGGGAAUGUUGGAUGCAUUCUUGCGUGUGGUGGGGAAGGAAGUAAGUGGAAAGUUUGGUGGAGUGGAGUUGGUGGAGUGGAAAAGGGUGGUGGCGCAGUUGGCUAGUGCAUAGGUCUCAUAGAUUUUUGUUAAGUGGAGUUGGUGGUUGAUAAUAUAAUUAGAUAGUGGAAGACGAUUGUCUUAAUCAUGAUCUUCCUCCUAAAGCCAGCAAAUUCGAGAGUUUUUUUUUUACCCAAAUGUACUGCGUCACUCUUGCUGCCAGUGGUGAGCUUAUAUGCAAAGAUUUCUUCCUGUACUCAGAAAAA
This 3391-nucleotide long non-coding RNA is filed under the name Salvia miltiorrhiza (redroot sage). RNAcentral describes it as "long non-coding RNA (SMIL_LNC009129)". The record is from RNAcentral. Lineage: Eukaryota; Viridiplantae; Streptophyta; Magnoliopsida; Lamiales; Lamiaceae.